CAGGCUUAAGCCACCUCGCCCAGCCUGGUGUCUCUUCUUAAAAGGACACUAAUCCCAUUAUAGGGUUAGUAAUUCCGGUUAGACUUCAACUAACCCUAAUGGUCUCCCAAAGGCCCCACCUCCAAAUAUCAUCACAGUAGAGGUUAGGGCUGCAACACAUGAACUGCGGGGGGACACAACUCAGUCUAUAGCAAACCCCUCGCAGAGGGCCUGGGAUAUGUCUUCCCGGCAGAUGAGAGGACUGGGCGUGACGAGACGAAGUGGUUGCCUGCAGAGAAAGAAGGGUAUGGUGACACUGCCAUCCUGGCUACCUUUGGCCACUCCAGCUUAUGGAAUGUAAUAGGGCCCAGGAGCCAGUUCCCAUGCACCUCAGGCCCCAUAUUCUCUUAGCCAAGCCCUGAGAAUACAUCAAGAACAGGUGAGGGCAUGUGGACGCAGGUGUGGGGAACUCCCAGCAGCUGGCCCCUCUUCCUGCUAAUUCUGCUCUGAUUUCCACCUUUGCUGGCCUCUCCCCAGUGCUGCUGAAUACACCUCAUUCUGGUGGCCUGCCAGGAGGGAGACAGUGUGACGUGGUGGGCUCAGGACCCUAUUUGGACAAGUAACACAGUGGCUCAGAGAGUAGACUUGGAGCCAGGCUGCCCGGUUUGUAACCCAGCUUGACCAUUGUGAUCUGAGGCAGGUGCUAGGCUUGGAGGUGCAGCAGCCGCUGUGCUGUAAUGCAGGCUCCACGCUGAGCAAGUUGGAGCAGGAGCCUGCCUCUCCAGUGGCAACCCCAGUAGCUGCUGAACUACAGACUUCCUCUCAUGUGAGGGAAAAAAAAAAACUUAGACUCUGUCUGUGUUUGUCAGAUUUUCUUGCUGCCUCCAUCAGCACAAAGUCUGAGAAAGAAGAGAAGUGACUGGGAAGUGACAUAUGAGUGUCCCACCACUGAUGACAGUAAUGAGAAUCAGCAGAACAGCAGCCACGCGAGCAAACAUUUCCUGAGCAUUGAC
Cebus imitator (Panamanian white-faced capuchin) is the source of this 992-nucleotide long non-coding RNA. RefSeq lists it as uncharacterized. The record is from RefSeq and is a predicted model, not a curated record. The transcript is spliced from 3 exons. NCBI's taxonomy places the organism in Eukaryota, Metazoa, Chordata, Mammalia, Primates, Cebidae.